This 620-nucleotide long non-coding RNA is filed under the name Pongo abelii (Sumatran orangutan). Its description in RNAcentral is "lincRNA". The record is from RNAcentral. Lineage: Eukaryota; Metazoa; Chordata; Mammalia; Primates; Hominidae.
CAGAGGAGCCAGCAGAAGACAGCAAGCCCUUGGUAUAGAUAGAGAAGCCAUGGAUGAAAAGAAGCAGGCCUAAAUGGCAGAGCAAAGUAACAUAGCAUUCCUCUCUACUAUCAUCCUGUACUGGAUAGGCCCCCACAAAUAAUCCUGUAUUUUGGUAAACCAAUGCUUGAGGAAGACAUGCUAGAGCAAAAACUACAACUCUAGUCCUCUUGGAUAUUUUAGAUAAGGACUUUACCCACAUAAAAAAGGUGUUGCCCUGGGGACUGGCUGAGAGAAAUUACAGACUGUUACUCACUUCAAAAGAAACUGACUUUGCUACAAUGGUACUUACGUCACCAGAAACCAACACUUCCACAAAGAAUUUGAUUUGAUGGCAUCAUGUGGACAUAGAACUCUCAUAGUAAUGACCCAACCUGUGUUUCCAGUCAUCCUGAUGAACUCUCAACAAAAUCAGAUUGUUAUACUGUUGUUCUCACUUUACACCCAUAUUUUCUCUUGCUCCUAAAAAAGGUAUCUGGUAUUAAAUAGAAUUCUGUAUCUUAAAAACUUGCCAUUGAGAAAAAUGAGAAGUAAUUGUACAUUUUAAUACUGAAGGUUUUAAUAAAAAAAAGCAAUGUGAA